UGAUUACUUAAGAAAUUCGGUUUAUUGUUUAUUUCUAAUGCUUUUUAGUUUGAAUUUUUGUUAAGAUGGAAAAUGAAGUAGGGAUGUUUUUGGUGAAAUGCUUUAUUUCGUAAACUAGGAUAUUAUCAACAUUAGAACACAAUAAUUUCUUGACUUGGCUACCAUAGGAAGACACACUUGUUGCAGCCUAUCUGAUUAGAUCAGGGAUGCUCAAAAGUAUGUCACAAUGGCUACAUUGCAUUUAACAAAAUUAUUUUAUUUAUAUCUAAUUAUUGAAUAUGUAUCAUUUUUUAAUAUAAUAAUUGAUUAAUAUGUUGUCUUGAAAUAUUACAGGAAGUUCUAAGAAAAAAAAUUCUAUUGAUACCUUAACUCAAAAUUUAAUAUAGUUCUUAAAAUAGCUAUUUGACAUAAUAAAAAAACUUUUGGAAAUAAAUGAUUACUCUAUAGGUUUAUUUGAAAGAAUUUCCUGUAAUUAUGAUAAAUGAAACAUGUUUAUGUGAAUGAUGAUUAAUAUAAAUUUAAAAUAUUAAACUUGAAAAAAUUAUUAUAUUUAUUAAGUUAUUUAUUUUAAAGUAUUUGCCAUUGUGUUAUAAAUCUUCCCUAUUGGUUACAUAUAAGUAUUCUCAUAAUUUAUUGAUCAUUAAACAUUUGCUACAUUAACAAGCAAUUUGUAAUUAAUAGCUGAUAUAUAAUUUACUUUGAAAAUAUUAGAAAAAUUAAAAUCUUUAUUAAUUUGGAUAUCAUUUUAAAUCUUAUAAUUGUUUGAUUCUGUAACAGUAAUCGUUAACACAAUGAUGUCCAUGAUCUAUAUAGGUUUAGUUUGAGAUUUGAAAUGUUCCUUUAUAUUAAUGGCCAAUUGAAGUUGUUUUUCCUUGAUUUAUUAUUAUACCCUUAUAUUUGAAAGGUUUUACAUUAAAAACAAAAAUCAUCAUCAUUAUAAAAUGACAAUUUUAAAGCGUUAAUUUUAUAAACUUUAUUAUUGUGUAAUUAAAAAUGAUCUGUCUUUUUGCUAAAAUGUUCCCGAUUUUAGUUUAUAUGUCUAAGUAUAUUCACAAACAGAUGUUAUUUAUGGUGUUUUUGAAGAUUUCUAGAUUGUAAUGUUUUUUAUAGUGUGUUCUGAGAGAGCAGUAAGAAUUAUUCCAUACUUACGUUAAUGCUGAAUAAAAGGGUUUUCAAGAUCAUUUGCUAUUUCCUGGCUUUAACAAUUUUCCUUUAUAAUGCUUAUGUAGAAAUCACCACCUAGGCAUUUAUUAGCUUUAAUUUUUAUGUAGAAAUUAUAUUGCAUUUCUUUUAGCAGAAGAGAAUCAGAAUUUUUUUUUUGUUUCAAAAAUUUCAACAGUCAUUUUUAAUGUUUAUUUGGUUUGUUUAAAUCUUACUAAAGCAAAUGAUUCAUUUGGUUCUGCUAUUCUAUUUACAAAGAACAUCAAGAUAAACAAUUUCAAAAAAAUCUAAGCGGAUUACCACAUUACUUUAACACAUUAAGAAAAGAAUCAUUUUCCUUUAUUCAGUUGUAACAAAAAUGUUUCAAACAUGUCAGAAAGUUAUUUCUCUGUUAAUUUGUAUAAAAAUCUAUUGACUAAUAUAGUGGUCUAAAUGAAUAUUAUUGAGAUUAUUAUCUAUUUAUCAAUAUAAGUAAUUAAACAAUUACAUCAUGAAAUUGCAUAAAGAAAGUACAUUCAUAUUAGUGAUAAGUAAAUGAUUUGUUUGUACCUAUUUUUAUUAGUUUUGUUGCACAGUUGAUGCAACAAAACUAACAAAAGUGUUAGUUGCAUUUUAGCAGUGUCUAAUGUCACAUUUAUACUGGUCAAAGAACUUUGUUUUAUUCUGAUAUCACUAGAAAUUUUCUAAACAUUUGCUUGCUUUUAUCAGCAUAUUUUAGCAGGUGAAGCUGUAUAAUAUAUUUUAGUAAAUCAAGCAUUUUGUCUUCAAAGAAGUUUUUCUAAUUUUGAUAAAUACUACAGGUUGUCAAUGUUUACAAAUAUUAGUUGGCAAAAAUGUGAUCCAAAUUUAAAAAUAAUAAUAAUGCAUGGUGAAAUUGAGAAAGGUUUUAUGUUUAUUACUAUAUUAGAUUUUUACAGUUACUAUGGAUUAGGCUACCAACUGAAUUUUAAGUACUAUAUUCCAGUUAUUCUUAAGCAGAAUCAAAUGCAAAUAAAGUAAGUAAGUGCAAAGAAUUUAGUAUUCCCCAAAUAAAUUGUAUUAUAAACAAACAUAUUUUGUAUUUAGGCAUCAUUGUGUUAACUAUUUUUAUAAAUGUCAGAUGGAAAAAGUAAAAUAUAUGAUUGCAUUUAUUUAUUUAUUUAUUAUAUGUAGUUAUUAAUGAAAACAGCCAUAAGAUUGCUGAUGAUUUUUCUUGCUAGUAAUAUAUUUUUUGAGAAAAUUCCAUGAUUUUGGAGGUUUAUUUUAAUGGCUGUGUGUGAUCUAUUGCUAUUUAAAUAAUUUGAAUCAAUUACAUUUGUAGUAAUUACUGGUGAUAGCAAAUAAUUUUUUUUAGAAUUUUAAAGGAAUGAAUCCAAUUGGCUUACAUAGUUUUUCUAUAAAUUUCUUCUGGAUGUGAGCUGUGAAUGAAAAACAUCAGAAUCAAUUAUGAAGUACAGUUAAUGGAUAAAAUGCCAGUAAAUGAAAUUUUUAGAAAAUUACUUAGAAAUAAAUUGAAUCCCCAAAGAGGUUAAAUCAGGAUAUCAGGGAUGAUGUAAGAGUUCAGCUUUUCCUGUUGGUACCAUUAAAUGAAAAAAUGAUUAAGUAAGUGGAAUCCAUACAAGGGAAUUUGGGGAUAAUUGGAUUCACCAGCCGUUGACAUUCAUUCAUGGAUGUAGCAACAGAAAGGAAAAUAACUACAGAUUUAAUAGUACACAAAUAAUUUGUGACAAGAUGGUUGGCAUGAUCAUCAAUAUAAAACCCUAUCCAGGUCUGUAUUGGUGAUUCUAGCAUUUCUUUACAGCUGGUGAUGGUCAGUGUGUUCGAACGUACAAAGAGUCAAUCAAAUUUUGUACAUUCGUAUACAUUUCGGUAGAUAAGUUAAAAUGGGUAACGGAAAACUGAAUGUAUAUUUUAUAUUUAUGACAAUUUGUUAUUAAAGCAUUUUUAAUCACUA
Long non-coding RNA from Centruroides sculpturatus (bark scorpion), 3094 nucleotides. RefSeq lists it as uncharacterized. The record is from RefSeq and is a predicted model, not a curated record. Lineage: Eukaryota; Metazoa; Arthropoda; Arachnida; Scorpiones; Buthidae. The transcript has 2 exons.